GGCCUGGUGGCGUAGUUCGUAACGCGCCGUUUGAACGUACUCUAGCGCGGAGGACACAUUUUCGACAGAGCCCCUUGUUCGAAUCGAGGCCUGGCCU
Non-coding RNA from Mycena polygramma, 97 nucleotides. The record is from the annotation of a GenBank genome assembly. NCBI's taxonomy places the organism in Eukaryota, Fungi, Basidiomycota, Agaricomycetes, Agaricales, Mycenaceae.